CCUACGGGAGGCAGCAGUGGGGAAUAUUGCACAAUGGGGGAAAGGCUGAUGCAGCGACGCCGCGUGAGGGAAGAAGUAUCUCGGUAUGUAAAGCUCUAUCAGCAGGGGAGAAAAGGACGGUACCUGACCAAGAAGCACCGGCUAACUACGUGCCACAAGCCGCGGGAAUACGUAGGGGGCCAGGGUUAUACGGAUUAACUGGGGGUAAAGGGAGCGUAGACGGUUAUGUAAGUCUGGAGUGAAAGCCCGGGGCCAAACCCCGGGCCUGCUUUGGAAACUGUGUAACUGGAGUACAGGAGGGGCAGGCGGAAUUCGUGGUGUAGCGGUGAAAUGCGUAGAUAUCAGGCGGAACACCGGCGGCGAAGGCGGCCUGCUGGACUGAAACUGACGUUGAGGCUCGAAAGCGUGGGGAGCAAACAGGAUUAGAUACCCUUGUAGUC
This 440-nucleotide ribosomal RNA is filed under the name uncultured bacterium. RNAcentral describes it as "partial 16S ribosomal RNA". It matches the Rfam family "Bacterial small subunit ribosomal RNA", at positions 338 to 795 of the family's 1533-position model. The record is from RNAcentral.